This 165-nucleotide ribosomal RNA is filed under the name uncultured bacterium. Its description in RNAcentral is "partial 16S ribosomal RNA". It matches the Rfam family "Bacterial small subunit ribosomal RNA", at positions 338 to 495 of the family's 1533-position model. The record is from RNAcentral.
CCUACGGGAGGCAGCAGUGGGGAAUUUUGGACAAUGGGCGCAAGCCUGAUCCAGCAAUGCCGCGUGGAGGAAGAAGGCCUUCGGGUUGUAAACUGCUUUUGUACCGGAAGAAAAGAAUGGUGUUAAUACAGUGGGCUGAUGACGGUACCGUAAGAAUAAGCCCCG